This 260-nucleotide unclassified non-coding RNA is filed under the name Hevea brasiliensis (rubber tree). Lineage: Eukaryota; Viridiplantae; Streptophyta; Magnoliopsida; Malpighiales; Euphorbiaceae. The record is from RNAcentral.
GAUGUUUUGAGAAAAGGGUAACCCGUUUUCACUGUUCUUUGUUUGUUAUGCUGGGAUAGUUACCAAUGUCUAUCAAAAUGGCCUUUUUCUUUUAUCUUUCUGCCAUAUGCAAAUGUGGCAAGGAGGCAUUGGCCCACUGAUCCUUAGAUUUUGUGGUUGAACUAUUUCUGUGUGGUUGUUUUAUUAAUCUUACAUUGAACUAUAUACUUGAAUGUGUGGCGCUUUGCUUGUUUUCAGGUCCGAUACCAGCGCAGGAAAAG